This 381-nucleotide ribosomal RNA is filed under the name uncultured marine Chaetocerotaceae. Its description in RNAcentral is "SSU rRNA". It matches the Rfam family "Eukaryotic small subunit ribosomal RNA", at positions 587 to 972 of the family's 1831-position model. Lineage: Eukaryota; Bacillariophyta; Thalassiosirophyceae; Chaetocerotales; Chaetocerotaceae. The record is from RNAcentral.
AGCUCCAAUAGCGUAUAUUAAAGUUGCUGCAGUUAAAAAGCUCGUAGUUGCAUUUCCGAGGCAAGGGAUUAGUCCGACCUUUGGUGGGUAUUUAAUCCUCUUGCCUCGUCCUUGAGUGGUGCUUCUUGGUAUUAAGUUAUCGAGGAGAUAGCCGCUCAUCGUUUACUGUGAGAAAAUUAGAGUGUUCAAAGCAGGCUUAUGCCGUUGAAUAUAUUAGCAUGGAAUAAUAAGAUAGUACCUCGGUACUAUUUUGUUGGUUUGAGAACCAAGGUAAUGAUGAAUAGGGACAGUUGGGGGUAUUCGUAUUCAGUUGUCAGAGGUGAAAUUCUUAGAUUUACGGAAGACGAACUACUGCGAAAGCAUUUACCAAGGAUGUUUGCA